GGCUGGUCUGAGUGCAUGGUGUCUACAACUAAUUGAUCACAACUAGUUACAGAUUUAUUUGUUCCUCCUCCACUUCCACUGCUUCACUUGGCUAGCCUAAA
Unclassified non-coding RNA from Cercocebus atys (sooty mangabey), 101 nucleotides. It matches the Rfam family "Y RNA". Rfam says of the family: Y RNAs are components of the Ro ribonucleoprotein particle (Ro RNP), in association with Ro60 and La proteins. NCBI's taxonomy places the organism in Eukaryota, Metazoa, Chordata, Mammalia, Primates, Cercopithecidae. The record is from Ensembl.